GGGUUGUGAGGUUAAGCGACUAAGCGUACACGGUGGAUGCCCUGGCAGUCAGAGGCGAUGAAGGACGUGCUAAUCUGCGAUAAGCGUCGGUAAGGUGAUAUGAACCGUUAUAACCGGCGAUUUCCGAAUGGGGAAACCCAGUGUGUUUCGACACACUAUCAUUAACUGAAUCCAUAGGUUAAUGAGGCGAACCGGGGGAACUGAAACAUCUAAGUACCCCGAGGAAAAGAAAUCAACCGAGAUUCCCCCAGUAGCGGCGAGCGAACGGGGAGCAGCCCAGAGCCUGAAUCAGUGUGUGUGUUAGUGGAAGCGUCUGGAAAGGCGCGCGAUACAGGGUGACAGCCCCGUACACAAAAAUGCACAUGCUGUGAGCUCGAUGAGUAGGGCGGGACACGUGGUAUCCUGUCUGAAUAUGGGGGGACCAUCCUCCAAGGCUAAAUACUCCUGACUGACCGAUAGUGAACCAGUACCGUGAGGGAAAGGCGAAAAGAACCCCGGCGAGGGGAGUGAAAAAGAACCUGAAACCGUGUACGUACAAGCAGUGGGAGCACGCUUAGGCGUGUGACUGCGUACCUUUUGUAUAAUGGGUCAGCGACUUAUAUUCUGUAGCAAGGUUAACCGAAUAGGGGAGCCGAAGGGAAACCGAGUCUUAACUGGGCGUUAAGUUGCAGGGUAUAGACCCGAAACCCGGUGAUCUAGCCAUGGGCAGGUUGAAGGUUGGGUAACACUAACUGGAGGACCGAACCGACUAAUGUUGAAAAAUUAGCGGAUGACUUGUGGCUGGGGGUGAAAGGCCAAUCAAACCGGGAGAUAGCUGGUUCUCCCCGAAAGCUAUUUAGGUAGCGCCUCGUGAAUUCAUCUCCGGGGGUAGAGCACUGUUUCGGCAAGGGGGUCAUCCCGACUUACCAACCCGAUGCAAACUGCGAAUACCGGAGAAUGUUAUCACGGGAGACACACGGCGGGUGCUAACGUCCGUCGUGAAGAGGGAAACAACCCAGACCGCCAGCUAAGGUCCCAAAGUCAUGGUUAAGUGGGAAACGAUGUGGGAAGGCCCAGACAGCCAGGAUGUUGGCUUAGAAGCAGCCAUCAUUUAAAGAAAGCGUAAUAGCUCACUGGUCGAGUCGGCCUGCGCGGAAGAUGUAACGGGGCUAAACCAUGCACCGAAGCUGCGGCAGCGACGCUUAUGCGUUGUUGGGUAGGGGAGCGUUCUGUAAGCCUGCGAAGGUGUGCUGUGAGGCAUGCUGGAGGUAUCAGAAGUGCGAAUGCUGACAUAAGUAACGAUAAAGCGGGUGAAAAGCCCGCUCGCCGGAAGACCAAGGGUUCCUGUCCAACGUUAAUCGGGGCAGGGUGAGUCGACCCCUAAGGCGAGGCCGAAAGGCGUAGUCGAUGGGAAACAGGUUAAUAUUCCUGUACUUGGUGUUACUGCGAAGGGGGGACGGAGAAGGCUAUGUUGGCCGGGCGACGGUUGUCCCGGUUUAAGCGUGUAGGCUGGUUUUCCAGGCAAAUCCGGAAAAUCAAGGCUGAGGCGUGAUGACGAGGCACUACGGUGCUGAAGCAACAAAUGCCCUGCUUCCAGGAAAAGCCUCUAAGCAUCAGGUAACAUCAAAUCGUACCCCAAACCGACACAGGUGGUCAGGUAGAGAAUACCAAGGCGCUUGAGAGAACUCGGGUGAAGGAACUAGGCAAAAUGGUGCCGUAACUUCGGGAGAAGGCACGCUGAUAUGUAGGUGAAGUCCCUUGCGGAUGGAGCUGAAAUCAGUCGAAGAUACCAGCUGGCUGCAACUGUUUAUUAAAAACACAGCACUGUGCAAACACGAAAGUGGACGUAUACGGUGUGACGCCUGCCCGGUGCCGGAAGGUUAAUUGAUGGGGUCAGCGCAAGCGAAGCUCUUGAUCGAAGCCCCGGUAAACGGCGGCCGUAACUAUAACGGUCCUAAGGUAGCGAAAUUCCUUGUCGGGUAAGUUCCGACCUGCACGAAUGGCGUAAUGAUGGCCAGGCUGUCUCCACCCGAGACUCAGUGAAAUUGAACUCGCUGUGAAGAUGCAGUGUACCCGCGGCAAGACGGAAAGACCCCGUGAACCUUUACUAUAGCUUGACACUGAACAUUGAGCCUUGAUGUGUAGGAUAGGUGGGAGGCUUUGAAGUGUGGACGCCAGUCUGCAUGGAGCCGACCUUGAAAUACCACCCUUUAAUGUUUGAUGUUCUAACGUUGACCCGUAAUCCGGGUUGCGGACAGUGUCUGGUGGGUAGUUUGACUGGGGCGGUCUCCUCCUAAAGAGUAACGGAGGAGCACGAAGGUUGGCUAAUCCUGGUCGGACAUCAGGAGGUUAGUGCAAUGGCAUAAGCCAGCUUGACUGCGAGCGUGACGGCGCGAGCAGGUGCGAAAGCAGGUCAUAGUGAUCCGGUGGUUCUGAAUGGAAGGGCCAUCGCUCAACGGAUAAAAGGUACUCCGGGGAUAACAGGCUGAUACCGCCCAAGAGUUCAUAUCGACGGCGGUGUUUGGCACCUCGAUGUCGGCUCAUCACAUCCUGGGGCUGAAGUAGGUCCCAAGGGUAUGGCUGUUCGCCAUUUAAAGUGGUACGCGAGCUGGGUUUAGAACGUCGUGAGACAGUUCGGUCCCUAUCUGCCGUGGGCGCUGGAGAAUUGAGGGGGGCUGCUCCUAGUACGAGAGGACCGGAGUGGACGCAUCACUGGUGUUCGGGUUGUCAUGCCAAUGGCACUGCCCGGUAGCUAAAUGCGGAAGAGAUAAGUGCUGAAAGCAUCUAAGCACGAAACUUGCCCCGAGAUGAGUUCUCCCUGACUCCUUGAGAGUCCUGAAGGAACGUUGAAGACGACGACGUUGAUAGGCCGGGUGUGUAAGCGCAGCGAUGCGUUGAGCUAACCGGUACUAAUGAACCGUGAGGCUUAACCUUACAACGCCGAAGGUGUUU
Molecule: ribosomal RNA, 2931 nt
Filed under: Escherichia coli
Lineage: Bacteria; Pseudomonadati; Pseudomonadota; Gammaproteobacteria; Enterobacterales; Enterobacteriaceae
Description: bacterial LSU rRNA
Rfam family: Bacterial large subunit ribosomal RNA
Source: RNAcentral